UAGUUUAAUUGGCAACCAGACACACCUGGUGUGCAUUUCCUCCCAGCAUAGGGAAGAUCUCAGUUGAGAUCUCCCUCCUGUCCUGAUUGUGCUGCAGCUCACUGUUUCUGCUGAGGUGUUGUUAAUUUAUUCAUCCUCAAGCCUUGAGAGAAGUGCUCGUCCAGGUGUUACCUGGACGAACCACCAGGUGGUUUUGUGAUGCCCAAAGGGCUGGUCCCUGCUGUUUUGCCUUACUAGUUUUGCCUAUUUUGCUUGGUUAUUUUGCUUUUGUAGAAUUUUGUCUUAAUUGAGUUUUCUUGUUUGACAGAUUUACUUGAAUUGUUAAACUUAACUUAAUAAACUUGUUAAUCUCUUGUCCUCAUAACAGCUUCCUUAUUUAUUAGUACCUUUUCCAAUAAAGCAUUCUUAUGAACUUGAAA
Centropristis striata (black sea bass) is the source of this 419-nucleotide long non-coding RNA. RefSeq lists it as uncharacterized. The record is from RefSeq and is a predicted model, not a curated record. Lineage: Eukaryota; Metazoa; Chordata; Actinopteri; Perciformes; Serranidae. The transcript has 3 exons.